RNAcentral lists this ribosomal RNA (488 nucleotides) under uncultured bacterium. RNAcentral's name for it is "bacterial SSU rRNA". It matches the Rfam family "Bacterial small subunit ribosomal RNA", at positions 28 to 514 of the family's 1533-position model. The record is from RNAcentral.
GACGAACGCUGGCGGCGUGCUUAACACAUGCAAGUCGAACGGAGUUCCUUGGAUAGAGGCUUCGGCCAAUUGAAAUGGAACUUAGUGGCGGACUGGUGAGUAACGCGUGAGGAACCUGCCUUUCAGAGGGGGACAACAGUUGGAAACGACUGCUAAUACCGCGUACGACCUUUGGGUGGCAUCACCUGGGGGUGAAAGCAGCAAUGCACCGAUAGAGUGCCUCGCGGCCUAUCAGCUAGUUGGUGGGGUAAUGGCUCACCAAGGCGACGACGGGUAGCUGGUCUGAGAGGAUGACCAGCCACAUUGGGACUGAGACACGGCCCAGACUCCUACGGGAGGCAGCAGUGGGGAAUAUUGCGCAAUGGGCGAAAGCCUGACGCAGCGACGCCGCGUGUGGGAUGACGGUCUUCGGAUUGUAAACCACUGUCGGAGGGACGAAGCUCUGACGGUACCUCCAAAGGAAGCACCGGCUAACUCUGUGCCAGCAG